GCCGCACAGGUCGAAGUGGUGAGAUUCCUGGCUUCCAACCAGGCGGACCGGGUUCGAUUCCCGGGUGCGGCU
RNAcentral lists this transfer RNA (72 nucleotides) under Actinomadura syzygii. Its description in RNAcentral is "tRNA-Gly". It matches the Rfam family "tRNA". From Rfam's summary of the family: Transfer RNA (tRNA) molecules are approximately 80 nucleotides in length. Their secondary structure includes four short double-helical elements and three loops (D, anti-codon, and T loops). Further hydrogen bonds mediate the characteristic L-shaped molecular structure. tRNAs have two regions of fundamental functional importance: the anti-codon, which is responsible for specific mRNA codon recognition, and the 3' end, to which the tRNAs corresponding amino acid is attached (by aminoacyl-tRNA synthetases). tRNAs cope with the degeneracy of the genetic code in two manners: having more than one tRNA (with a specific anti-codon) for a particular amino acid; and 'wobble' base-pairing, i.e. permitting non-standard base-pairing at the 3rd anti-codon position. Lineage: Bacteria; Bacillati; Actinomycetota; Actinomycetes; Streptosporangiales; Thermomonosporaceae. The record is from RNAcentral.